GGAUUAGAUACCCUGGUAGUCCACACCGUAAACGAUGUUCACUAGAUGGUAAGCUGCAUCUGUGGCCUGCUGUCGAAGCUAACGCAUGAAGUGAACCGCCUGGGGAGUACGGUCGCAAGAUUAAAACUCAAAGGAAUUGACGGGGGCCCGCACAAGCGGUGGAGCAUGUGUUUAAUUCGAGGCAACGCGAAGAACCUUACCUGGGUUUGACAUCCCAAGAAACCUCCAGAGAAGGAGGCGUGCCCCUCGGGGAACUUGGAGACAGGUGCUGCAUGGCUGUCGUCAGCUCGUGCUG
Molecule: ribosomal RNA, 295 nt
Filed under: uncultured bacterium
Lineage: Bacteria
Description: partial 16S ribosomal RNA
Rfam family: Bacterial small subunit ribosomal RNA
Source: RNAcentral